AACCAAUAUGGCGGCCUGAAAUUGUUUUAAAGUUUUUCUUGUGAAAUUUGGUUGAAAAUGGCACUUAAUACGUGGGUUACCGAUAAACUUCACGACAUACUGGGCUUCUCUGAUAAACAUACUGUAGAGUACCUUGUUAGUUUGAGCAAAAGCACUAAAACAUCGGAGUCUUUUCGCGAAAAACUUCAAGGCUUUCUAGGCCCCUUGGACGGUGAUGUUCUGAACUUUGCAAAUGAUCUGUGGCAGCGUGUACCCCAUCAAGAGGUA
Molecule: non-coding RNA, 267 nt
Organism: Paramuricea clavata
Lineage: Eukaryota; Metazoa; Cnidaria; Anthozoa; Malacalcyonacea; Plexauridae
Source: the annotation of a GenBank genome assembly